Molecule: ribosomal RNA, 490 nt
Filed under: uncultured bacterium
Lineage: Bacteria
Description: partial 16S ribosomal RNA
Rfam family: Bacterial small subunit ribosomal RNA
Source: RNAcentral
AUUGAACGCUGGCGGCAGGCCUAACACAUGCAAGUCGAACGGUAACAGAAAGCAGCUUGCUGCUUUGCUGACGAGUGGCGGACGGGUGAGUAAUGUCUGGGAAACUGCCUGAUGGAGGGGGAUAACUACUGGAAACGGUAGCUAAUACCGCAUAACGUCGCAAGACCAAAGAGGGGGACCUUCGGGCCUCUUGCCAUCGGAUGUGCCCAGAUGGGAUUAGCUAGUAGGUGGGGUAAAGGCUCACCUAGGCGACGAUCCCUAGCUGGUCUGAGAGGAUGACCAACCACACUGGAACUGAGACACGGUCCAGACUCCUACGGGAGGCAGCAGUGGGGAAUAUUGCACAAUGGGCGCAAGCCUGAUGCAGCCAUGCCGCGUGUAUGAAGAAGGCCUUCGGGUUGUAAAGUACUUUCAGCGGGGAGGAAGGGAGUAAAGUUAAUACCUUUGCUCAUUGACGUUACCCGCAGAAGAAGCACCGGCUAACUCCGUG